AAAAAGUUAGUUAAACAAUAAUACAAGAUUGUCAGUCUUACGUUACUAAUUUAAUUAGUACUUUUUA
This 67-nucleotide transfer RNA is filed under the name Alcithoe jaculoides. RNAcentral's name for it is "tRNA-Asn". Lineage: Eukaryota; Metazoa; Mollusca; Gastropoda; Neogastropoda; Volutidae. The record is from RNAcentral.